Molecule: ribosomal RNA, 500 nt
Filed under: uncultured bacterium
Lineage: Bacteria
Description: partial 16S ribosomal RNA
Rfam family: Bacterial small subunit ribosomal RNA
Source: RNAcentral
AUUGAACGCUGGCGGCAUGCUUUACACAUGCAAGUCGAACGGUAACAGGGUGCUUGCACCGCUGACGAGUGGCGAACGGGCGAGUAACGCGUCGGAACGUGCCGAGUAGUGGGGGAUAACGCAGCGAAAGUUAUGCCAAUACCCCAUACGUACUGAGGUAAAACGUGGGGGACCUUCGGGCCUCACGCCAUUCGAGCGUCCGACGUCUGAUUAGCUAGUAGGUGAGGUAAAGGCUCACCUAGGCGACGAUCAGUAGCGGGUAUGAGAGGAUGAUCCGCCACACUGGGACUGAGACACGGCCCAGACUCCUACGGGAGGCAGCAGUGGGGAAUUUUGAACAAUGGGCGAAAGCCUGAUCCAGCCAUGCCGCGUGUCUGAAGAAGGCCUUCGGGUUGUAAAGGACUUUUGUCAGGGAGGAAAUCCCUAGUGCUAAUAACACUGGGGAAUGACAGUACCUGAAGAAUAAGCACCGGCUAACUACGUGCCAGCCGCCGCAGUAA